AACAUGUGUUUUUGCAAUGAAUGUCUUAGCUCAAUUGACGAUGAAGAAUGCAGCAAAAUGCGAUAUGCAUUGUGAAUUGCAGAAUUCCGUGAGCCAACAGAUGUUUGAACGUAGUUUGCACCUUCGGGAUAUGCUUGAAGGUAUGCUUGAUUCAAUGUUAACU
Molecule: ribosomal RNA, 163 nt
Filed under: Alexandrium andersonii
Lineage: Eukaryota; Dinophyceae; Gonyaulacales; Pyrocystaceae
Description: 5.8S ribosomal RNA
Rfam family: 5.8S ribosomal RNA
About the family: 5.8S ribosomal RNA (5.8S rRNA) is a component of the large subunit of the eukaryotic ribosome. It is transcribed by RNA polymerase I as part of the 45S precursor that also contains 18S and 28S rRNA.
Source: RNAcentral